This 166-nucleotide ribosomal RNA is filed under the name Paphiopedilum micranthum. Its description in RNAcentral is "5.8S ribosomal RNA". It matches the Rfam family "5.8S ribosomal RNA". Rfam says of the family: 5.8S ribosomal RNA (5.8S rRNA) is a component of the large subunit of the eukaryotic ribosome. It is transcribed by RNA polymerase I as part of the 45S precursor that also contains 18S and 28S rRNA. Functionally, it is thought that 5.8S rRNA may be involved in ribosome translocation. Lineage: Eukaryota; Viridiplantae; Streptophyta; Magnoliopsida; Asparagales; Orchidaceae. The record is from RNAcentral.
GAACAACUCUCAGCAACGGAUAUCUCGGCUCUUGCAUCGAUGAAGAACGCAGCGAAAUGCGAUAAGUGGUGUGAAUUGCAGAAUCCCGUGAACCAUCGAGUCUUUGAACGCAAGUUGCGCCCAAGGCCAUCAGGCCAAGGGCACGCCUGCCUGGGCAUUGCGAGUC